GCCGGGGGUGAUGGCGUGCGCCUGGUAGUCCCAGCUACUCGGGAGGCUGAGGUGGGAGGAUCGCUUGAGUCCAGGAGUUCUGGGCUGCAGUGCGCUAUGCCGAUCGGUGUCCGCACGAAGUUCGGCAUCAAUAUGGUGACCUUCCGGGAGCGGGGGACCACCAGGUUGCCUAAGGAGGGGUGAACUGGCCAGGUCGGAAACGGAGCAGGUCAAAACUCCCGUGCUGAUCAGUAGUGGGAUCGGGCCUGUGAAUAGCCACUGCACUCCAGCCUGGGCAAUAUAGUGAGACCCUGUCUCUA
Cavia porcellus (domestic guinea pig) is the source of this 299-nucleotide non-coding RNA. It matches the Rfam family "Metazoan signal recognition particle RNA". Rfam says of the family: The signal recognition particle (SRP) is a universally conserved ribonucleoprotein. NCBI's taxonomy places the organism in Eukaryota, Metazoa, Chordata, Mammalia, Rodentia, Caviidae. The record is from Rfam.